This 301-nucleotide ribosomal RNA is filed under the name uncultured bacterium. RNAcentral's name for it is "partial 16S ribosomal RNA". It matches the Rfam family "Bacterial small subunit ribosomal RNA", at positions 509 to 807 of the family's 1533-position model. The record is from RNAcentral.
CAGCAGCCGCGGUAACACGUAGGGUGCAAGCGUUAAUCGGAAUUACUGGGCGUAAAGCGUGCGCAGGCGGUUAUAUAAGACAGAUGUGAAAUCCCCGGGCUCAACCUGGGAACUGCAUUUGUGACUGCAAGGCUAGAGUACGGCAGAGGGGGAUGGAAUUCCGCGUGUAGCAGUGAAAUGCGUAGAUAUGCGGAGGAACACCGAUGGCGAAGGCAAUCCCCUGGGCCUGUACUGACGCUCAUGCACGAAAGCGUGGGGAGCAAACAGGAUUAGAUACCCCAGUAGUCCCUGUCUCUUAUAC